CAAGAUCGCGCCACUGCACUCCUGUCUAGGUGACAGAGUGACACUCUGUCUCAAAAUAAAAUAAAAUAUAAAUUGCAAUCAAUUUGGGGGGAACUAACAUCUUUACUAGUUGAGUUUUACAAUCCAUGAAAAUGGCAUGUCUCUCCAUUUAUUUCUUUCAGGAGCAUUUUGUAAUUUUCAGCAUAUAAGUCCUGUACAUGUUUUGUUAGAUUUACACCUAACUUUUUCAUUUUUGAACAAUUGCAGGUGCUAUUUUGUUAUUAAUUUCAAUGUCCACAUGUUCAUUAUUGGUAUAAAGAAACACGAUUGAUUUUUUCUAUGUUGAUCUUGCAUUCUGAAACCUUGCUAAACUCACUUAUUAGUUAUAGGAGUACAUUUUUAGAUUCCUUGGGACUGUUUACAUAGACAGUUGUGUGGCCUACAAAUAUAGGAACAGUUUUAUUGCUUCCUUUCCAAUCUGUAUAAAUUGUAAUUCUUUUUUUCCUUGACUUAUUGCCCUGGUUAGAAUGUCCAGCAAUACACUGAAUAAGAAUGGUGAAAGCAGACUUCCUCUCCUUUGCUCAGUCUUAGGUGGAAAGCAUUCACUUUUUCACCAUUACUUAUUAUAUUAGUUGUAGGGUUUUUGUAGAUGGACUUUAUCGAGUUGAGGAAAUUCCCCCUAUUCCUGUUUUUCUGGGAGUUUUUAAAAUCACGAAUGGGUGUUAAAUUUUAUCAGAUGCUUUUUCAGCAUCAAUUGAUGUGAUCAUGUCAUUUUUCUUCUUUAGCAUGUUAAUAUGAUGGAUUACACUGAGAGUGAUUUUUGAAAUAUUCUGCCAGGCUUACAUUCUGGAAUAAGCCCUACAUAGGCAUGAUGUUGAGGGAAGCUGGAAGCAAGAUGGGAAGGUGGAGAGAAGAAACCCUGAAAGGAACUAAGAGUUACUGGAAGGAGGGCUUUAAUCUGGUGAGUGGGUCACUCACUGGUAGGUAAGUCACGUGUGGAAACCUGUUUGGGGUGUUGCAAGGAUUGACUGUGUUGGACUGGACGAGGGAGGGCCACUGGGGGUGUAAGUGAAAAAGUGCCGGAGUAUGUGUAUUUAGAUAUUAUGAAAUUAUACACAAACAUAUAUGAAAGAGAGAGAGAGAGAAUAUCGACAAUACCAAGUGCUAACAAGCAAGUAAAGACACUGAAUUUCUCAUAUUUUACUGAUGGAAAUGAAAAUGGUAUAUAUAUAUAACCCCGAAAAACAUUUUGGCUGUUUUUAUAAAAUUAUACAUUUACCAUACAACCCAUCAUUCACACUCCUGUGUAUUUAUCCCAGAGAAAUGAAACUUAUGUUCCCACCAAAAAAGCACAAUCGUUCAUAGUAUUUUACUUGUAAUAGCAAAAAAGUGGAAACAACUCAAAUAUCUAUCAACAGGGGAAAUGGGAGACACACCGUGGUACACACACACAAUGGAAACUUUUGAGCAAUAAAAAGACAAGGAACUAUUUACAUACACCAUGACUUGGCAAGAUCUCAAAGGCACCGUGUCAGAUACAAGAAGUUGGUCUCAACAAUUACAUAGGUAAGAAUCAACUUAGCCUUUCCUGUGACACUCAGGAAAGGCAAAACUAUAGGAAAGAGUGAAUGCCAGGGGUUGGGGUUGGGUUUGGGGUGAUGGAACUGUUCUGUAACCUGAUUUUGAUCGUGACUACAUGAAUCUAUACCUGUGUUUAAAUCCAUUAAGUUGUGCAUAGAAAACAGUCAACUUACUGUAUGUUUUUAAAUAAAAUAAAAUCAGGGUGUGGAAACUGA
RNAcentral lists this long non-coding RNA (1775 nucleotides) under Homo sapiens (human). RNAcentral's name for it is "HSALNT0398259". Lineage: Eukaryota; Metazoa; Chordata; Mammalia; Primates; Hominidae. The record is from RNAcentral.